RNAcentral lists this long non-coding RNA (5814 nucleotides) under Homo sapiens (human). RNAcentral's name for it is "HSALNT0094860". The record is from RNAcentral. Lineage: Eukaryota; Metazoa; Chordata; Mammalia; Primates; Hominidae.
CGGGGAGGUGUCUCUCGCUUGGGUCUCCUGCUCGGGAUCGAUCUACCCUUAUCCCCUUUUCCAAAGCGGCGCAAACAAUUACCAGCACGUUCUCAGCGCUAGGUCUAAUUGGGUGAGUUUUUAUUGUAGAAAUGCGCCCCUGAAGAUGUGAGACGCGUAGGUGGGCCCCUGCGCCUUUCCACCGGCCUCCCACUGCCCGUGCUCACAGAAGAAACUGGGUCCUUAGACCCAGGCGGGACCCACUGAAACCCCGCGUUCAGUCAUUUCCCAGGGGGAUGCGGCCCCCCAGUGCCAACCUUCCAAAGUUCAGGUGAGUUCACGACGCUCGGAUCCUAGUGGGGUCCUCCUCGGUGUCAAGGAGCAAGAGAGGCCGUAGCAGCUGUGGGAAACAGCCACAGGGCCUGCGAGUCCAGACGGGUAGCUCCAGGCUAGUUGCACGCUUGCGGUUCCUGCCCCUUCCGUGUGCAAAGUAAGGAAGUCAGCAGGCGGCGAGCAAGCAAGACGGGCUGGCGCGCCGUCUUUCAGGAAGGUUUCCCGACCCGACCGCCGUCUUUCGGGAAGGUUUCCCGACUGGACCCUCUGUCCAGAGGAAGAAAGAUUUGGCCAGGGGAUCAGAAUCACGGUACCUACAGGUACUGGGAUCGAGACCCUACACAGGCUCCCGACGCCUCGGUCUCCCUUUCCUCUCGGGUUGCCACUCUAGUUCAGGAAGGGUCUUUGGGUCAGGGCACCGUGUUCCCAGGGGCCAGCGAUCCCCGGUGUCGUGCCCUCCCUACCAGGCUCAAGCUGGCUGCUCUUGGCUAGGUCGGGACGGGGCGCCCGGCGGCCGUGGCUCAGUCCCAAGCUACACCGGCCGCGUCUUCCAGGGCGCGCGGGCGUCGCGCAGCGAGCGGUCGUGGGGCAGCGCGGCGAAGGCCGAAUGGCGCAGCUGGCAACCGAUGAAGAGGACGACGAGCGCCACCGAGAGCAGCAGCAGGAAGAAGAGCAGCAGCAGUUGGGAAGAUGUGGCAAAACAGGACUUAUAUUCCUUAUGGCAACGAUGGGCUGAGCUGAGUGUCUGCAGCCUGCUUUAGGCAGGGCACGGCUGUGCAGUCUGUCAUCGUCCCUCGUCACUCCCAUCAAUGCUGGCACCAACCUCACUUCUAUUUAUCGCCUCAUCUGAUCGGCUGUUUCUUAUAGCAGAAACGUCUGCAAGGCAUGUGAAUUUGUAACCAUCACCCUCCUCACAGGGUUGCUGUGAGGAUCCGGUGGACUGAUGCAUGCAAAGCCCCGAGCACAGUGCCUGGUACACGGCAAAAGCUGAAUACUUCUGGCCAGCCCUAGGAAUAUUUCCUUGGGAGCAGAGGGCUCUUCUGGAAGCUUCUGGAAGAUGAAUGGCAUCUUCGCACACCUGCUCCGAACAGGCAUUGUUUGGGACUCAGCGCCCUCUGGUGGCUGCUCUCCCCACUCACACUUAGCCUCUUCCUUGGUUGGGGGGACACUUUGAGGCCUCAUUCCUGCCCCUCCCCUUCCUUUCACAUGGAGGAAAGUUCUAGAAUGGGGUGGGAGAAAACUUUCCACUUGUUCUGCAUUUCCUUUACCUCCUUCCUGACCUUAGGUCUGGGCACAGGAGGAGGGGCUUGGAGGUGGAGGCUGGAGCUUCUGGGGGUCCUGGCUGCAUGACUCUAAGGAGGGUGGUGCCUUCGUCCCCACCCAACCCCCACCGCAUCGGCCCAUUCUCCUCCCGAAGCAUCCCUGGGCCACAGGUUCCCAAGGCCACCUCCAGACUGGGCCCGCGAGUGGGGCGGCCCUGGUAGCGUAUCCACAGAAGUUAUUAUGAGGGAGGAGAAACUCCCAGGAGCCUGGAGAGAAUGGCUCGGCACAGCAGAUGCAGCCGUGGUGGCCAUGGAGCUGACCAGCCUCUUGGGAGUGAGCUGGCCACCUGAGCACGGUCCACUCAGCCCACACAAGCAGCAGCACCACCUCGCUGACAGGAGCUUCGUCAAUGCCUGCCGCCUCCUCCUUCCAUAACGAGGGACCACCUAGCAGGGACUUUCACUUUUAUUUCCACAGAGAACCUUGUGGUUAGAAGUCCAAUGGGUCUAGGCUGUGGGAAUCUUCUUAUUAACCACAAACAGAUGUCAAAAGGAUCUUUCCUAAUACUGUAGAUACUGCACUUGGCUCGUGUGGGAGUCCACUGUCUGUGGAAACAUUACUCGUCUAUUUUUCAGGUAUGGUCUAUACACAUAAAAGGCAGAGAUCUUAAAGGUACAGUUUGAUCCAUUUUGACAAAUGGAUACACCCCCUGUUUUUAUCAGAUGCUUCACUGAGCCCCCGUUUCAUGGUGUAAUUUAAGUGCCAUGACACCUGGAUACCCCCACCUUCUAUGAUCAGUGAUAUUCACAUGAAUCAGUUACAUACUGCUUGAGGCUGGCUGGCCUGACACUUGGCCAUUGUUUGAGACCUACAAGUAGGUAGGUGGGCUGUUGUCUGCCCCUAAACCAUGUCAGCUCAGGGGCAGUUCAGUUAUGGCUGAGCUUCGAGCUGCAUGCUGGGUGCCCCAGGAUGAAGCAGAGGGUCACCCAAUGACCAGGCUCUUUCUGUAGUUCCCUGUGGCCCAAGCUAGGAGAACAGAAACUUCAAUCAUGGAUGAGGCUGUUUCUAGGUGGCAAAUAUUUGUCAUAAGUAUCUCAUUAAUUACCUGGCAUAAAGUAAUUUGCUUUUCAUCUAAGAGUAACUGCUUAAAAUAGACUGGAAAACAACCCAAACAGUGAAAAUAAUAUAGUUGGUAAACUUCAGUGUAUAUCAGAGACCCUUGGUGCAGUUUUCCAAAAGCAGAUCCCCAGACCCCACUCCAGAGAUGCUGAUUCAUUAGGUCUGGGUGGGGUCUGGGAUCUGUAGUUUUAACAGCUAGUUCUGAGGUGGGGAACACUUUGAGAAACACGGCUGUCAGUUAGAUGCUGAGAACCUCCCACUGAGACUGGACAGGGCCAGUUAGAAGCAAGCGGCGGCAGACCCUAAACGCAGUGUGCAUCUGCUCAGUGGAUGUGCACCAUGGAAUGAAGUACAGCAUUGGAAUUCUGAACCAUCCUGCACUCAAGAGGCAUGAGGUUGGCUCAAGGCUGCCAUUGCUGUGGGAGGCAGAGGAAUGUCCCCUACUCCCAAGAUGUCCCCGUCCUGAUCCCUGAUGUUCUGCCUGUGGGAAACAUGACUGUUUCUCCUCAAAGGGGAACUGAGGUGGCAAAUAGAAUUCAGGUUGCUGAUCAGCUGCCCUUAACAGAAGGAGAUUAUUCUGGAUUGUCCUGGUGGAACCAAUUCAAUCACAUGAGUCCUUAAAAGUGGAGGAGGGGCCGGGCGCAGUGGCUCAUGCCUGUAAUCCCAACACUUUGGGAGGCUGAGAUGGGCGGAUCACAAGGUCAGGAGUUCGAGACCAGCCUGACCAACAUGGUAAAACCCCAUCUCUACUAAAAAAAUACAAAAAUUAGCUGGGCGUGGUGGCACACACCUGUGAUCCCAGCUACUCAGGAGGCUGAGGCAGGAGAAUCACUUGAACCCAGGAGGCAGAGGUUGCAGUGGGCCGAGAUUGUGCCGUUGCACUCCAGCCUGGGCAACAGAGUGAGACUCCAUCUCAAAAAAAAAAAAAAAAAUGGUGGAGGAGGAAGGCAGAAGAGUGGGGUCAGAGAUGGGACAAUGGAAGAUGAGGCAGGGCAAAUGGAGUGUGAGGGUGCCUGAUGCCUGCUGCCAGCUCUGAGGUGGUGGGGCUGUAUGCACAGACCAAGUGCUGGAGCUCAGGGCAGCCCAGCUGUGGCCAGCAAGGCAACAGGGACAGGCCUGCAGCCCCGUGGAAAUGCACUCUGCCGACAACUGAAUGAGCAAGGAGACUGAGCCUCCCUGGAGCCUCUGGAAAGGAGCACAGUGCCCUGACAACACUGUGGCCGUAGCCCAGUGAGACCCACAGAACCUGUGUUGUUUUAAAUCACCACGUGGGUGGAAAUCCAGUCAUUUACCUUCAUUGACUUCGUCAUUUUCUCUGUCCACCUGGGCUUUCAGGACGUAUCUUUUUAUGAGCCGUUUCAUGAUUUUCUGAAAUGCCAAGCAAGGAAGGGAUCAGACAGGGCUGGCCUAAUGCAGAGGCAGCCUGCGUGGUGUAGCAGGACCCCUCCCUCCCUUGAAGAGCCUCAGCAACCAUGGCGACCCUCCCAUGCCUGGCGCCUCACUCUGGAGGGGUGCCCUGCACAGUGCGGGUACCUGGCCAGCCUCUGUUUCGCCUCCCCCGCAGGAUGCAAUGUGCAACUGAACCUGGGAUGUAACAGGAAUACUUCUUAAUGGCAGGAAGCUGAGCCAAGCAGAGAGAGAGACAGAGAGAAAGGGUGGAGUGGGCAGUGGCACAAAUCUCUGCUCCAGGGGCCUUGGCCUGGCUCUGCCCUGCUCAGUCAAGUCAUCUUUCCUGGACCUCAGUUCUGUUUUAAGGAUGGAGGGCUGGGGAAGACUUAGCAGGCCUGCCUGGGUGGAGCUGCCUCCCUCAGAGGUCACAGUGAGCAGUGUGCCCUUCAUGAAGAGAUCCGCUGGGUACAGAAGUCAGGAUCAGGCUUGGAGGACAAGUCCACUGUACCUUGGAAAAUUCCUACCAGAAGCAGAAGCAGACACAGCCGGGCCUCUGGGGUUUUACAGAGAUACCACUUCCCACAGGCCUGACACUGUACUGCCGGAGUCACACUGGAGCAGGAUUUGGCCCUCAAGUUCCAUUUAUUAUGAAGAUACUGAAUUCGUUAAGCAGGCGAGGCAUGAAUAAACACUUAAGAGACACCAAGAAUAGAGCCAAGUGUAGGAAAGACUGCAGGAGGUGAACUUUGGAUUUUGCCAGCUAGUUGGUCCAGGGUUCCUGCGAAAUCACAGGAUUUAAAAAUACUCGGGUAGCCGAGACUUCUGAAUCUUCCAAGAGAUGAGCAGUGUGGAAGAGAGGAAGGGAUUUCCCUGCUCCUUGGUCCUCCCUUCUUGUGGCCUUCUGACCUGCUCACACCUGAGGACCAAGAGGACAGAGGCAGCAUUUUCCAGUUUGAAGAGACCUGUAGGGACCUGAUUCUGUUCCUAGCUUUGCUACAUAGGCUGAGGAAAAGCAUCUUGCAAAUAAAAAGUAAGUGAACUGGAUGCAAAGAGCUGCAGGAUUUACUCAUUAUCAUCAAUUAUGGUUCUUUCCAUCCCUUUAACCAUGAAGAGCUUGCCACAGAGAUGCUUCCUGGCCUGUGAUUCUAAGACUUCACCUGAACCCGAAAGGCUCUCUAGGAUAACACUGGGUUUAGCUCAUUCAGGCCAGCACUGCCCCUCCUCAGCCCUCGGGCUCAUGGGCCAACUGGCUGUGUGGUUUGAGUUGUGAUCUAAUUUCAGGCUGAAGAGUUAAUUGGCAGUUGCCUUCCUGCUGCUCCUUCUCAGAGAAGCCUGGGUCUUAUCCUACUAGCGGUUAAACUGCAGCGCUGAAUUUCUCAUGGACAUAGUCUAGUCAAUAAAGUAAGUUAUCUAAGUUAUAAAAAAUAUAUCCCUUUCAAGCUAGGUGCAGUGGCUCAUGCCCAUAAUCUCAGCACUUUGGGAGGCCAAGGUGGGUGGAUAACCUGAGGUCAGGAGUUCAAGACCAGCCUGGCUAAAAUGGCGAAACCCUGUCUCUGCUAAAAAUACAAAAAUUAGCUGGGCAUGGUGGUGUGUGCCUGUAAUCCCAGCUACUCGUGAGGCUGAGGCAGAGAGCAUUGCUUGAACCUGGGAGGCAGAGGUUGCAGUCAGCCAAGAUCAUGCCACUGCACUCCAGCCUGGGCAACAGAGCAAGACUCUAAUUCAAAAAAAAAA